UCCGUAAUGAAUAGCCUACUGAGAUGGCACAUUCAAACGGGACUAAAAUCACUGAGAAGCUCUGAGAGUGUGCAGGAAUCUCACCAACAGCUAUGUGGAUGUGGCUGCUUAUGGAGGGCAAAAUGGUCUUGUUGAGAGCUUGUGUGCCAGUACCGGAGGUGAAACGAAAGGCCUGCCAAGACGAUUUCAGCAGCGCACACAGUCAUGGCCUUUGAAGACAUAUCUUUUAGCCUUUAGGAUGGAGUUAGGGUGAGUGACGUCAUUAUGGCGAGGACUUACACCUGUAUUGGAGCUGAUGCCGGCAAAUUUAAGCAGUUCCCUUCAGUUGUGAUGGCGCACGCUCUCCCCUCCUUGUGUCGUUUUGGUUCUUUUUUCAGUUGUUUUUUUUUUUUAUUUAUUUUUUUUUAUUACUAAAUGUUAUUCCUUUUUUGAUCAUGAUCCAACGUGUUGUCUCCUUCUUUGUCAUGGCUUGCGAUUCGGCCGUGACAAAUGGGGGCUCGUCCGGGAUCUGAACCCGGGAUCUCUCGGCCGUGACAGUGUGUAUGUGUUCAAAAAUUUUUGCUUUAUAAUAACAAAAGUUUUAAAUAAAUUAAUUGUUUUAUUCA
Ctenopharyngodon idella (grass carp) is the source of this 605-nucleotide long non-coding RNA. RefSeq lists it as uncharacterized. Lineage: Eukaryota; Metazoa; Chordata; Actinopteri; Cypriniformes; Xenocyprididae. The transcript has 3 exons. The record is from RefSeq and is a predicted model, not a curated record.